UACGUAGGGUGCAAGCGUUGUCCGGAAUUCUUGGGCGUAAAGAGCUCGUAGGCGGUCUGUCGCGUCGGCUGUGAAAUCCCGAGGCUCAACCUCGGGUCUGCAGUCGAUACGGGCAAACUAGAGUAUUGCAGGGGAGACUGGAAUUCCUGGUGUAGCGGUGAAAUGCGCAGAUAUCAGGAGGAACACCGGUGGCGAAGGCGGGUCUCUGGGCAAUAACUGACGCUGAGGAGCGAAAGCGUGGGGAGCGAACAGG
Molecule: ribosomal RNA, 253 nt
Filed under: uncultured bacterium
Lineage: Bacteria
Description: partial 16S ribosomal RNA
Rfam family: Bacterial small subunit ribosomal RNA
Source: RNAcentral